This 119-nucleotide ribosomal RNA is filed under the name uncultured archaeon. Its description in RNAcentral is "partial 16S ribosomal RNA". It matches the Rfam family "Archaeal small subunit ribosomal RNA", at positions 339 to 458 of the family's 1478-position model. The record is from RNAcentral.
GCGCGAAAACUUUACAAUGCGGGAAACCGUGAUAAGGGGACACCGAGUGCUAGCAUCAUAUGCUGGCUGUCCAGGUGUGUAAAAUACACCUGUUAGCAAGGGCCGGGCAAGACCGGUGC